GACGAACGCUGGCGGCGUGCUUAACACAUGCAAGUCGAACGGAAAGGCCCUGCUUGCAGGGUACUCGAGUGGCGAACGGGUGAGUAACACGUGGGUGAUCUGCCCUGCACUUCGGGAUAAGCCUGGGAAACUGGGUCUAAUACCGGAUAGGAGCCAUUUUUAGUGUGAUGGUUGGAAAGUUUUUUCGGUGUAGGAUGAGCUCGCGGCCUAUCAGCUUGUUGGUGGGGUAAUGGCCUACCAAGGCGGCGACGGGUAGCCGGCCUGAGAGGGUGGACGGCCACAAUGGGACUGAGAUACGGCCCAGACGCCUACGGGAGGCAGCAGUGGGGAAUAUUGCACAAUGGGCGCAAGCCUGAUGCAGCGACGCCGCGGGGGGGAAGACGGCCUUCGGGUUGUAAACUCAUUUCGCUAGGGACGAAGCUUUUUGUGACGGUACCUAGAUAAGAAGCACCGGCUAACUACGUG
Molecule: ribosomal RNA, 465 nt
Filed under: uncultured bacterium
Lineage: Bacteria
Description: partial 16S ribosomal RNA
Rfam family: Bacterial small subunit ribosomal RNA
Source: RNAcentral